Molecule: ribosomal RNA, 449 nt
Filed under: Salmonella enterica
Lineage: Bacteria; Pseudomonadati; Pseudomonadota; Gammaproteobacteria; Enterobacterales; Enterobacteriaceae
Description: partial 23S ribosomal RNA
Rfam family: Bacterial large subunit ribosomal RNA
Source: RNAcentral
AUCUAAGUACCCCGAGGAAAAGAAAUCAACCGAGAUUCCCCCAGUAGCGGCGAGCGAACGGGGAGGAGCCCAGAGCCUGAAUCAGCAUGUGUGUUAGUGGAAGCGUCUGGAAAGGCGCGCGAUACAGGGUGACAGCCCCGUACACAAAAGCGCAUGUGCUGUGAGCUCGAUGAGUAGGGCGGGACACGUGGUAUCCUGUCUGAAUAUGGGGGGACCAUCCUCCAAGGCUAAAUACUCCUGACUGACCGAUAGUGAACCAGUACCGUGAGGGAAAGGCGAAAAGAACCCCGGCGAGGGGAGUGAAAAAGAACCUGAAACCGUGUACGUACAAGCAGUGGGAGCACAGGUUUACCUGUGUGACUGCGUACCUUUUGUAUAAUGGGUCAGCGACUUAUAUUCUGUAGCAAGGUUAACCGAAUAGGGGAGCCGCAGGGAAACCGAGUCUUAAU